RNAcentral lists this ribosomal RNA (457 nucleotides) under uncultured bacterium. RNAcentral describes it as "bacterial SSU rRNA". It matches the Rfam family "Bacterial small subunit ribosomal RNA", at positions 28 to 507 of the family's 1533-position model. The record is from RNAcentral.
AACGAACGCUGGCGGCAGGCCUAACACAUGCAAGUCGAGGGGGAAGCCACUUUCGGGUGGUGGAGACCGGCGCACGGGUGAGUAACGCGUGGGCACCUGCCCUGGGGUGGGGGAUAACCGCUGGAAACGGCGGCUAAUACCGCAUACGCCCUAUUUUCGUAGAGGAGAUGGGGGAAAGAUUUAUUGCCCUGGGAUGGGCCCGCGUUGGAUUAGCUUGUUGGUGGGUAAAGGCCUACCAAGGCGACGAUCCAUAGCUGGUCUGAGAGGAUGAUCAGCCACACUGGGACUGAGACACGGCCCAGACUCCUACGGGAGGCAGCAGUGGGGAAUAUUGGACAAUGGGGGCAACCCUGAUCCAGCCAUGCCGCGUGCGUGAAGAAGGCUUUAGGGUUGUAAAGCGCUUUCACCGGUGACGAUGAUGACGGUAGCCGGAGAAGAAGCCCCGGCUAACUCCGUG